CAAUAGCGUAUAUUAAAGUUGUUGCAGUUAAAAAGCUCGUAGUUGGAUUUCUGGUCGGAGCGACCGGUCGGCGUCCUUUGUGGCGUGUGCACUGUUGUCGGCUCCGUCCAUCCUAGUGGGAAGGCGUGUUGGCAUUCAUUUGUCGGCGCGUGGCCCCGCUACGUUUACUGUGAAAAAAUUAGAGUGUUUAAAGCAGGCGUUCGCUGUGAAUACAUUAGCAUGGAAUAAUGAGAUAGGACUUUGGUACUAUUUUGUUGGUUUGCGCACCAAGGUAAUGAUUAAUAGGGAUAGUUGGGGGUAUUCAUAUUCAAUUGUCAGAGGUGAAAUUCUUGGAUUUAUGGAAGAUGAACUUAUGCGAAAGCAUUUACCAAGGAUGUUUUCAUUAA
RNAcentral lists this ribosomal RNA (386 nucleotides) under uncultured eukaryote. RNAcentral's name for it is "partial 18S ribosomal RNA". It matches the Rfam family "Eukaryotic small subunit ribosomal RNA", at positions 592 to 976 of the family's 1831-position model. The record is from RNAcentral.